UACGAAGGUUGCUAGCGUUUCUCGGAAUUACUGGGCGUAAAGGGCGCGUAGGCGGAUACUUAAGUCGGGGGUGAAAGCCCGGGGCUCAACCUCGGAAUUGCCUUCGAUACUGGGUAUCUUGAGUUCGGGAGAGGUGAGUGGAAUGCCGAGUGUAGAGGUGAAAGUCGUAGAUAUUCGGCGGAACACCAGUGGCGAAGGCGACUCACUGGCCCGAUACUGACGCUGAUGCGCGAAAGCGUGGGGAGCAAACAGG
This 253-nucleotide ribosomal RNA is filed under the name uncultured bacterium. Its description in RNAcentral is "partial 16S ribosomal RNA". It matches the Rfam family "Bacterial small subunit ribosomal RNA", at positions 524 to 776 of the family's 1533-position model. The record is from RNAcentral.